Molecule: transfer RNA, 85 nt
Organism: Felis catus (domestic cat)
Lineage: Eukaryota; Metazoa; Chordata; Mammalia; Carnivora; Felidae
Rfam family: tRNA
About the family: Transfer RNA (tRNA) molecules are approximately 80 nucleotides in length. Their secondary structure includes four short double-helical elements and three loops (D, anti-codon, and T loops). Further hydrogen bonds mediate the characteristic L-shaped molecular structure. tRNAs have two regions of fundamental functional importance: the anti-codon, which is responsible for specific mRNA codon recognition, and the 3' end, to which the tRNAs corresponding amino acid is attached (by aminoacyl-tRNA synthetases). tRNAs cope with the degeneracy of the genetic code in two manners: having more than one tRNA (with a specific anti-codon) for a particular amino acid; and 'wobble' base-pairing, i.e. permitting non-standard base-pairing at the 3rd anti-codon position.
Source: Rfam
GCCUGGGUGGCUCAGUCGGUUGAGCAUCCGACUUCAGCUCGGGUCAUGAUCUCACGAUCCGUGAGUUCGAGCCCCGCUUCGGGCU